CCAUGUUUCAUGAAGCCUUUAGAAGACUGUUGUUGACCUCUGUUGAAUGCAGGUAAUGGGCCGUGUGGUGACAGAAAGGAGUCUGGCAUUACCCCAACAAUCAGUGGCAGAGGAUCUCUCUUUCGGCUGCUGCUGACGACAACCGCUGAACCAGCCAGACAACAACCCACAGUCUACUGUACUGUUCCAUAAAGAAGUCAGCCAUGGUAUCAUGAAUGACGUGGGCCAUCGUUCAAACAAAGAUGUCUC
This is a non-coding RNA of Salvelinus sp. IW2-2015, 249 nucleotides long. NCBI's taxonomy places the organism in Eukaryota, Metazoa, Chordata, Actinopteri, Salmoniformes, Salmonidae. The record is from RefSeq and is a predicted model, not a curated record.